Long non-coding RNA from Phyllostomus discolor (pale spear-nosed bat), 480 nucleotides. RefSeq lists it as uncharacterized. The transcript is spliced from 2 exons. Lineage: Eukaryota; Metazoa; Chordata; Mammalia; Chiroptera; Phyllostomidae. The record is from RefSeq and is a predicted model, not a curated record.
AUUCGUCUGACUCGGUUUCUCGCCUGCCAAGAACCUUCCGCGUGGUGCCGGCUCCUCACUCGUUCAGAGACAAGAUGAUGUCGUCCUCCAGGUCGGAGUUGUCCGAGCUGUCGGCUGCAAGGCAGCCACCGAAGGGCCACCUGUCAUCACUCCACAUCCACAAGAAUGAGGCCAACCCCAAGGACAGCCCUCUAACUCCCAUGGUGUCCAGGCAAUGCUAACUUCCUUACACGACCUCCUCCUCAAACUCAGACACUGGUGUCAUAUGAACCCAGGUGACAGUCCCCAGAGAAGACUGCUACCCACAAACAACCUCAAAAACUGCAAGGAUGUGAGAGGGUAGAGGUAACGAUAUUGACAAAAUAAAGCAAUUUUUGCUUCAGAUUUCUAGUUCAUAACCCUAACCUCUCCUGCUAAGUUCACAAUCAAGAUCACGGCUUUCGACUUCUCACUAGAGCUCCUAAUAAGGCAAUACGACAA